Molecule: long non-coding RNA, 1493 nt
Organism: Calliphora vicina (urban bluebottle blowfly)
Lineage: Eukaryota; Metazoa; Arthropoda; Insecta; Diptera; Calliphoridae
Exons: 2
Source: RefSeq, a predicted model, not a curated record
AAUCAAGAUCCGCGUAACAGUUUACAUUUUCAUAAUUUUUUUUCUGUAAAUAUUCACAUUUUCGGUAUUGCCGGCCUUCGGCCGGGUGAAGGGACUUUUAACUCUGGGGUGUAUCGAACACCGGCUUCGCUAAAAUCACUUUUUCUGUAUAUCAAAAUUUUCGGAUGUACUGUCAUAUAAAAUAAAAAAGGAAUUUUUGGUUCACAAUAUUAAUAAAUUGUACCAUAUUAUAUAUCAUAUUAAAGGUAUUGUGAAGCACUAUUAAAUGAUACCCAUAACGAUCAGUUUGUUUUCCAAAUAUAUGAGAAAUGUACUAUUAUAUGUAUUGACUUUAAAUUCAUAUAACUCUUAAACUAAGAGAGAGCAGGCAAAAAUAUUAAUGUUUUUGUGCUUCUAAUUAUGAGAGCUAUCAACACCAAAGAAAUUAUAAAAAUGCAAGCUGUUUCGCUGAUCUUGAUUUAUACCUCAAUAUUAUAAUAAACAAUAUUAUAAAAGUUAAAGUUUAAUUUUGUAGUAGUGGUAACACCUGUCAAUGAUAUCAAAUGCAACACUACAAAAAUAAGUUGCAAAAAAAUAUAAAUGAAAAAAAAACAUAAACAAAAUAUGUUUGCAAUUGCGUAGUACGAUUACAAAAUCAAAGACUAUAUUCGUGCCAUAGACGGAAUAUAAGCUACUAGGAAAAGUGUUCUGCCUGGUGGUGGCAAUGACGACGAUCCUGAGUAAAGUAAAUUCGAAGAAGCUAUUGUUGAAGGUGCUGGAAAAAGUUAUUCCAUUGUUUGGCCAUGCAAUGUAACCUGAAAAAUUUCUAAAUUGGUGAUUAUUUACAAUUAAAGCAAAAAUCUGAAAAGAGUCUCAAAGAGCCUUAGUUUAUGGAACUCUGGUUGAAUGUUUUGGUGCUUUAAAUUUCGAUACAUUCUGUACCUUAAUAAUUGAAAGUCUUUCUGAUCAAUUUUAUCAUGCACUUCAAAAUGCUGUUUUCAGUUGUAUUGUGAGAAAAUAUUAUUUGUAUCUUAUACACAUAUUUUAUUGGUUUUGUCUCCAUUAAACAAAUACUUGCCGUUGCCAUUCAAGUUUUGUGUAAAAAAGAUUUCGUUGAUAAGGGUACCUACGACAAUGCCAUUCAUUGGUUUGCUAAGAGAAUCCAUGAGAAUUCCCUUGACAAAUUUGGAGAGAUAGAUAAUUCGAGUCCAGAUAUUUUGUAGUUUUUGCAAACUACAUAAGAAUUUUGAGUUUUUUAAAAAAAGAAAGGCUGAGUUUUUAAAAAUAGUUCGAAGGCAGUUCUAAAAUCUAUUUUUUGGGAAGUUUGGCACAUUUAUAAUUUAAGAUUCUUGAAAGGCAAAAAGAUAAUGCAAACAUUUCAAUUUAAUCAUUAUGAAAUUUUAUUUUCGUCCCAGCAAACAAAAAAUUGUACUUUUAAUUAAUUUGAGCAAUUCUUCAAAAUCAACCAACCACUUUUUGUAAAUAAAUAAAACUUUGUUGUUAGAAAUAUAAAA